UGGGGAAUAUUGGACAAUGGGCGCAAGCCUGAUCCAGCCAUGCCGCGUGAGUGAUGAAGGCCCUAGGGUUGUAAAGCUCUUUCACCGGUGAAGAUAAUGACGGUAACCGGAGAAGAAGCCCCGGCUAACUUCGUGCCAGCAGCCGCGGUAAUACGAAGGGGGCUAGCGUUGUUCGGAUUUACUGGGCGUAAAGCGCACGUAGGCGGACUUUUAAGUCAGGGGUGAAAUCCCGGGGCUCAACCCCGGAACUGCCUUUGAUACUGGAAGUCUUGAGUAUGGUAGAGGUGAGUGGAAUUCCGAGUGUAGAGGUGAAAUACGUAGAUAUUCGGAGGAACACCAGUGGCGAAGGCGGCUCACUGGACCAUUACUGACGCUGGGGUGCGAAAGCGUGGGGAGCAAACAGG
RNAcentral lists this ribosomal RNA (404 nucleotides) under Actinomycetes bacterium. RNAcentral's name for it is "Actinobacteria bacterium partial 16S ribosomal RNA". It matches the Rfam family "Bacterial small subunit ribosomal RNA", at positions 355 to 776 of the family's 1533-position model. Lineage: Bacteria; Bacillati; Actinomycetota; Actinomycetes. The record is from RNAcentral.